Molecule: ribosomal RNA, 315 nt
Filed under: uncultured eukaryote
Lineage: Eukaryota
Description: partial 18S ribosomal RNA
Rfam family: Eukaryotic small subunit ribosomal RNA
Source: RNAcentral
CCCUUAGACGUUCUGGGCCGCACGCGCGCUACACUGACCAGUGCAACAAGCAUCCGUCCUUGGCCGACAGGCCCGGGCAAUCUUUGAACGCUGGUCGUGAUGGGGAUAGACUUUGGCAAUUUUUGGUCUUCAACGAGGAAUUCCUAGUAAACGCAAGUCAUCAACUUGCAUUGAUUACGUCCCUGCCCUUUGUACACACCGCCCGUCGCACCUACCGAUUGAAUGGUCCGGUGAAGCCUCCGGAUUGGCGCGCACCUCGGUGCCGCCGAGAAGUUGGCUAAACCUUACCAUUUAGAGGAAGGUGAAGUCGUAACA